UAGUUUCACUGGAAUAUUUUC
Molecule: non-coding RNA, 21 nt
Filed under: Caenorhabditis elegans
Lineage: Eukaryota; Metazoa; Nematoda; Chromadorea; Rhabditida; Rhabditidae
Source: RNAcentral